GAUGAACGCUGGCGGCGUGCCUAAUACAUGCAAGUCGAGCGAACAGAUGAGGAGCUUGCUCCUCUGACGUUAGCGGCGGACGGGUGAGUAACACGUGGAUAACCUACCUAUAAGACUGGGAUAACUUCGGGAAACCGGAGCUAAUACCGGAUAAUAUAUUGAACCGCAUGGUUCAAUAGUGAAAGACGGUUUUGCUGUCACUUAUAGAUGGAUCCGCGCCGCAUUAGCUAGUUGGUAAGGUAACGGCUUACCAGGGCAACGAUGCGUAGCCGACCUGAGAGGGUGAUCGGCCACACUGGAACUGAGACACGGUCCAGACUCCUACGGGAGGCAGCAGUAGGGAAUCUUCCGCAAUGGGCGAAAGCCUGACGGAGCAACGCCGCGUGAGUGAUGAAGGUCUUCGGAUCGUAAAACUCUGUUAUUAGGGAAGAACAAAUGUGUAAGUAACUAUGCACGUCUUGACGGUACCUAAUCAGAAAGCCACGGCUAACUACGUG
RNAcentral lists this ribosomal RNA (497 nucleotides) under uncultured bacterium. RNAcentral describes it as "partial 16S ribosomal RNA". It matches the Rfam family "Bacterial small subunit ribosomal RNA", at positions 28 to 507 of the family's 1533-position model. The record is from RNAcentral.